UGAGGAAUAUUGCGCAAUGGGGGCAACCCUGACGCAGCGACGCCGCGUGAGUGAGGAAGGCCUUCGGGUCGUAAAGCUCUGUCAAAGGGAAAGAAGUGCAUGGUGGCUAAUACCUGCCAUGUUUGACGGUACCCUUAAAGGAAGCACCGGCUAACUCCGUGCCAUCAGCCGCGGUAAUACGGAGGGUGCAAGCGUUGUUCGUACUCACUGGGCGUACAGGGCGCGUAGGCGGUUUGAUCAGUCAGAUGUGAAAGCCCACGGCUUAACUGUGGAAGUGCAUUUGAAACUGUCAGACUUGAGUAUCAGAGGGGAAAGUGGAAUUCCCGGUGUAGAGGUGAAAUUCGUAGAUAUCGGGAGGAAUACCGGUGGCGAAGGCGACUUUCUGGCUGAAUACUGACGCUAAGGCGCGAAAGCGUGGGGAGCAAACA
This 428-nucleotide ribosomal RNA is filed under the name uncultured prokaryote. RNAcentral describes it as "bacterial SSU rRNA". It matches the Rfam family "Bacterial small subunit ribosomal RNA", at positions 355 to 774 of the family's 1533-position model. The record is from RNAcentral.